This 429-nucleotide ribosomal RNA is filed under the name Actinomycetes bacterium. RNAcentral describes it as "Actinobacteria bacterium partial 16S ribosomal RNA". It matches the Rfam family "Bacterial small subunit ribosomal RNA", at positions 355 to 776 of the family's 1533-position model. Lineage: Bacteria; Bacillati; Actinomycetota; Actinomycetes. The record is from RNAcentral.
UAGGGAAUCUUCCGCAAUGGGCGAAAGCCUGACGGAGCAACGCCGCGUGAGUGAUGAAGGUCUUCGGAUCGUAAAACUCUGUUAUUAGGGAAGAACAAAUGUGUAAGUAACUAUGCACGUCUUGACGGUACCUAAUCAGAAAGCCACGGCUAACUACGUGCCAGCAGCCGCGGUAAUACGUAGGUGGCAAGCGUUAUCCGGAAUUAUUGGGCGUAAAGCGCGCGUAGGCGGUUUUUUAAGUCUGAUGUGAAAGCCCAAGGCUCAACCGUGGAGGGUCAUUGGAAACUGGAAAACUUGAGUGCAGAAGAGGAAAGUGGAAUUCCAUGUGUAGCGGUGAAAUGCGCAGAGAUAUGGAGGAACACCAGUGGCGAAGGCGACUUUCUGGUCUGUAACUGACGCUGAUGUGCGAAAGCGUGGGGAUCAAACAGG